RNAcentral lists this ribosomal RNA (1253 nucleotides) under Candidatus Phytoplasma cynodontis. Its description in RNAcentral is "bacterial SSU rRNA". It matches the Rfam family "Bacterial small subunit ribosomal RNA", at positions 140 to 1394 of the family's 1533-position model. Lineage: Bacteria; Bacillati; Mycoplasmatota; Mollicutes; Acholeplasmatales; Acholeplasmataceae. The record is from RNAcentral.
AGGCUAAUGCUGGAAAACAGUUGCUAAGACUGGAUAGGGAAAUUAGAAGGCAUCUUUUAAUUUUUAAAAGACCUUUUUCGAAAGGUAUACUUAAAGAGGGGCUUGCGGCACAUUAGUUAGUUGGUAGGGUAAAAGCCUACCAGAACCAUGAUGUGUAGCUGGACUGAGAGGUUGAACAGCCACAUUGGGACUGAGACACGGCCCAAACUCCUACGGGAGGCAGCAGUAGGGAAUUUUCGGCAAUGGAGGAAACUCUGACCGAGCAACGCCGCGUGAACGAUGAAGUAUUUCGGUAGUAACAGUUCUUUUAUUGAAGAAGAAAAAAUAGUGGAAAAACUAUCUUGACGAUAUUCAAUGAAUAAGCCCCGGCAAACUAUGUGCCAGCAGCCGCGGUAAUACAUAGGGGGCGAGCGUUAUCCGGAAUUAUUGGGCGUAAAGGGUGCGUAGGCGGUUUGGUAAGUCUAUAGUUUAAUUUCAGUGCUUAACACUGUUCUGCUAUAGAAACUAUCAGACUAGAGUGAGAUAGAGGCAAUGCGAAUUCCAUGUGUAGCGGUAAAAUGCGUAAAUAUAUGGAGGACACCAGAGGCGUAGGCGGCUUGCUGGGUCUUUACUGACGCUGAGGCACGAAAGCGUGGGGAGCAAACAGGAUUAGAUACCCUGGUAGUCCACGCCGUAACGAUGAGUACUAAGUGUCGGGGAAACUCGGUACUGAAGUUAACACAUUAAGUACUCCGCCUGAGUAGUACGUACGCAAGUAUGAAACUUAAAGGAAUUGACGGGACUCCGCACAAGCGGUGGAUCAUGUUGUUUAAUUCGAAGAUACACGAAAAACCUUACCAGGUCUUGACAUACUCUGCAAAGCUAUAGCAAUAUAGUGGAGGUUAUCAGGGAUACAGGUGGUGCAUGGUUGUCGUCAGCUCGUGUCGUGAGAUGUUAGGUUAAGUCCUAAAACGAGCGCAACCCUUGUCACUAGUUGCCAGCAUGUUAUGAUGGGCACUUUAGUGAGACUGCCAAUGAAAAAUUGGAGGAAGGUGAGGAUCACGUCAAAUCAUCAUGCCCCUUAUGAUCUGGGCUACAAACGUGAUACAAUGGCUGUUACAAAGAGUAGCUAAAACGCGAGUUUAUAGCCAAUCUCAUAAAAGCAGUCUCAGUUCGGAUUGAAGUCUGCAACUCGACUUCAUGAAGUUGGAAUCGCUUGUAAUCGCGAACAGCAUGUCGCGGUGAAUACGUUCUCGGGGUUUGUACACACCGCC